RNAcentral lists this ribosomal RNA (482 nucleotides) under uncultured bacterium. RNAcentral describes it as "partial 16S ribosomal RNA". It matches the Rfam family "Bacterial small subunit ribosomal RNA", at positions 30 to 507 of the family's 1533-position model. The record is from RNAcentral.
AUUGAACGCUGGCGGCAUGCCUUACACAUGCAAGUCGAACGGUAACGGGCCUUCGGUUGCCGACGAGUGGCGAACGGGUGAGUAAUACAUCGGAACGUGCCCGAUCGUGGGGGAUAACGAGGCGAAAGCUUUGCUAAUACCGCAUACGAUCUACGGAUGAAAGCCGGGGACCGCAAGGCCUUGCGCGGACGGAGCUGCCGAUGGCAGAUUAGGUAGUUGGUGGGAUAAAAGCUUACCAAGCCGACGAUCUGUAGCUGGUCUGAGAGGAUGAUCAGCCACACUGGGACUGAGACACGGCCCAGACUCCUACGGGAGGCAGCAGUGGGGAAUUUUGGACAAUGGGCGCAAGCCUGAUCCAGCCAUGCCGCGUGCAGGAUGAAGGCCUUCGGGUUGUAAACUGCUUUUGUACGGAACGAAAAGCCUUCUUUUAAUACAGGAGGGUCAUGACGGUACCGUAAGAAUAAGCACCGGCUAACUACGUG